This 402-nucleotide ribosomal RNA is filed under the name uncultured bacterium. Its description in RNAcentral is "bacterial SSU rRNA". It matches the Rfam family "Bacterial small subunit ribosomal RNA", at positions 355 to 774 of the family's 1533-position model. The record is from RNAcentral.
UGGGGAAUAUUGGACAAUGGGCGCAAGCCUGAUCCAGCCAUGCCGCGUGAGUGAUGAAGGCCCUAGGGUUGUAAAGCUCUUUUGUGCGGGAAGAUAAUGACUGUACCGCAAGAAUAAGCCCCGGCUAACUUCGUGCCAGCAGCCGCGGUAAUGCGAAGGGGGCUAGCGUUGCUCGGAAUCACUGAGCGUAAAGGGUGCGUAGGCGGGUCUUUAAGUCAGGGGUGAAAUCCUGGAGCUCAACUCCAGAACUGCCUUUGAUACUGAAGAUCUUGAGUUCGGGAGAGGUGAGUGGAACUGCGAGUGUAGAGGUGAAAUUCGUAGAUAUUCGCAAGAACACCAGUGGCGAAGGCGGCUCACUGGCCCGAUACUGACGCUGAGGCACGAAAGCGUGGGGAGCAAACA